CAACGUUAUUGACGUCGCCGCAACAGUUACGACGCUUCAUAUAGUCCUAUACUUGUAUGAAAUAUAUACCGUUUUGUUGGAGUUCGUGUUGCUCGGUUUUGAGUUCUUUAUGUUACGUUUUGUGUACUAUUGUAUUGUAUUUGUCUAUUAUAUUCGGGUGCGUGCGGAGAUCGCCAAGCUAGAAAACGGUUGACAUUUUCUUCAUUAUGAACUAAAACUAUUUUCGACCUUGGUGCCUUAUUUUUUGUUAAAAUCUAAACACUGCAACGUGUUUUCAAAAUCUUUGUUCCCAUAAAACUUCAUUUCAUCAAGGUCUCUUCUCAGAAUAUCAGCCAUCUGUCUGGCACAGGAUAACAAAUCAAUAUUUAAGUAAAUUUAAGUUGUGUGGUAAUUCUUAGUACAUUUGGGUAAAUUAAUCUUAUCUUUGUGCCGCAUAAGCAUCCCUAUAAUUCAACACAUCCCUGAGCCACGACAUUAUAUAUUUUAUGCAUUGCAUGCGCUUCUUUUUAUCACAAUCCAGACCGGCU
RNAcentral lists this long non-coding RNA (527 nucleotides) under Mytilus galloprovincialis (Mediterranean mussel). The record is from RNAcentral. Lineage: Eukaryota; Metazoa; Mollusca; Bivalvia; Mytilida; Mytilidae.